CGCCUGUUUUAUCAAAAACAUAUCCUAAAAUAUUUAACCUUAGGUAAUGCCUGCCCACUGCUUAGAGUAAAUGGCCGCAGAAAUUUAACUGUGCUAAGGUAGCACAAUCCAUAGCUUCUUAAUUAGAUGCCAGCAUGAACGGCUUAAUGAGAGUUUAUCUUUCUUCAUUAUACAAUUUUAACUUAACAGGAAAGUUAAAAGUCUUUCCAUAAUAAAAAGACGACAAGACCCUAAAAACUUAAUCUUACUCAUAUUUUCAUUAAGAACAAUAUAAAAAGAAUUUUACUGGGGCGGUAUUCUUUAUUUAGAAACAAAGAACAUAUAAACAAUAUGUAUGAAAAUUCAAAAACCAUUCUAAACUCAAACCCAAAGUUACUUUAGGGAUAACAGCGUUAUAUUAUUUUAGAGCCCUUAUCAACAAUAAAACUUACGACCUCGAUGUUGAAUUGAAAAUUCUAUUUAAAGCAGCCUUUAAAAAAGAAAGUCUGUUCGACUUUUAAAUUUUCACAUGAUCUGAGUUCAAAC
This 525-nucleotide ribosomal RNA is filed under the name Gnorimosphaeroma rayi. Its description in RNAcentral is "partial 16S ribosomal RNA". It matches the Rfam family "Bacterial large subunit ribosomal RNA", at positions 1797 to 2616 of the family's 2925-position model. The record is from RNAcentral. Lineage: Eukaryota; Metazoa; Arthropoda; Malacostraca; Isopoda; Sphaeromatidae.